This 125-nucleotide transfer RNA is filed under the name Pyrodictium delaneyi. RNAcentral's name for it is "tRNA-Val". The record is from RNAcentral. Lineage: Archaea; Thermoproteati; Thermoproteota; Thermoprotei; Desulfurococcales; Pyrodictiaceae.
GGGCCCGUCGUCUAGCUUGGUAGGAUGCGGGGUACACAUAUCCCCGCCCGAAAACCGUAUGAGGGCGGGGAUGUGCCCGACUCGGGACCCCGUGGUCCCGGGUUCAAAUCCCGGCGGGCCCACCA